RNAcentral lists this ribosomal RNA (643 nucleotides) under uncultured bacterium. Its description in RNAcentral is "bacterial SSU rRNA". It matches the Rfam family "Bacterial small subunit ribosomal RNA", at positions 232 to 885 of the family's 1533-position model. The record is from RNAcentral.
CGCGGCCUAUCAGCUUGUUGGUGGGGUAGUGGCGUACCAAGGCUUUGACGGGUAGCCGGCCUGAGAGGGUGACCGGCCACAUUGGGACUGAGAUACGGCCCAGACUCCUACGGGAGGCAGCAGUGGGGAAUAUUGCACAAUGGGCGGAAGCCUGAUGCAGCAACGCCGCGUGCGGGAUGACGGCCUUCGGGUUGUAAACCGCUUUCGCCUGUGACGAAGCGUGAGUGACGGUAAUGGGUAAAGAAGCACCGGCUAACUACGUGCCAGCAGCCGCGGUGAUACGUAGGGUGCGAGCGUUGUCCGGAUUUAUUGGGCGUAAAGGGCUCGUAGGUGGUUGAUCGCGUCGGAAGUGUAAUCUUGGGGCUUAACCCUGAGCGUGCUUUCGAUACGGGUUGACUUGAGGAAGGUAGGGGAGAAUGGAAUUCCUGGUGGAGCGGUGGAAUGCGCAGAUAUCAGGAGGAACACCAGUGGCGAAGGCGGUUCUCUGGGCCUUUCCUGACGCUGAGGAGCGAAAGCGUGGGGAGCGAACAGGCUUAGAUACCCUGGUAGUCCACGCUGUAAACGGUGGGUACUAGGUGUGGGGUCCAUUCCACGGGUUCCGUGCCGUAGCUAACGCUUUAAGUACCCCGCCUGGGGAGUACGG